CCCAGGACAGACCUGGGAGGGCGGCGAGGCCCAGCAGGAGCGCCCCGGCCCGGCCCCGGCCCCGGCUACAUUCUCAGUGCCAGGAAAAGGGGCGAGAGGCCGCAGGUGCCCCUAGCCAAACUAAAAACGAAACGCUGCUCCAGCAGAUUGGGUGGAAACAGCUGUGCCUGUUUUCUCUGUUUUUAGGCUGGAAAGGGCUUGUAAACAUGGUUCCUUUUAAAAUGACCUACCCAGGGAGGUUUGGGCACAGUUCUGUUCUGCGAUCAUCUUUUCCAGGGGGUCUCUGACUUGGGACUUCAAUCUCCUGUAUCUCCACAUUGUCGUUUUAUACACAAUUGCCGAAGUUGAAGUUGAACUGCUUUCAACUUCCCCGUGCUUGAAACUGCGAAGGUUCUGCCCUGACAGUUCCCGGAAUAAUGCUGAGGACUACCUGUGGGGUAGCUGCUUCAUUCAGUUCACUUCAUCUGGGAAGACCUGAGCCCUGCCUUCGAUCCAGCGGCCCUCCUGAGAGCUGAGAAGGAGCGACCCCUACGCGUCUGCUCCCUGGAGCUGCCACAACGCAUCUUCCUGCGACUCGGAACUUGGAGAAAGGAACCCAGCACAUCACUUUGCUUUUCUUCUGGACCUAGUUGGUAGUUAUACUCUCUCUCCCAUGGAGACCACCUCUUGCACCAUCCUUUCUUCUAUAUGGAAUUUAGGAUAGAAAUUAAAAAGAUAACAUCUUAUUUCAAGCCUUGAUUUGGAGGAGGAUAGUAUUUGGGGGGAAGUAGGCUAUGGUACACAUAGAAAAUUUGAGGACAGUGUCACUUAACAAGGACAUUUCUGUCUCUGCAGAAGUCAUAGCUUGGAGGAAAUGAGUUUGCACUGUCUGAUGAGGAAUUUGGCCACCAAAUCACUGACACUUUCCCAAAGAUUUGGCAGAAAUUGUUUUUCAAGUAGCUCACCUGAGUCCCUAGAAGAAUCAGCAUGGAAUUAGAGGACAGUGACCUACCCUAACCAAGGACUUAGGUGA
Long non-coding RNA from Cebus imitator (Panamanian white-faced capuchin), 1012 nucleotides. RefSeq lists it as uncharacterized. The record is from RefSeq and is a predicted model, not a curated record. NCBI's taxonomy places the organism in Eukaryota, Metazoa, Chordata, Mammalia, Primates, Cebidae. The transcript is spliced from 2 exons.